UACGUAGGGUGCAAGCGUUAAUCGGAAUUACUGGGCGUAAAGCGUGCGCAGGCGGUGAUGUAAGACAGAUGUGAAAUCCCCGGGCUCAACCUGGGAACUGCAUUUGUGACUGCAUCGCUGGAGUACGGCAGAGGGGGAUGGAAUUCCGCGUGUAGCAGUGAAAUGCGUAGAUAUGCGGAGGAACACCGAUGGCGAAGGCAAUCCCCUGGGCCUGUACUGACGCUCAUGCACGCAAGCGUGGGGAGCAAACAGG
RNAcentral lists this ribosomal RNA (253 nucleotides) under uncultured bacterium. RNAcentral describes it as "partial 16S ribosomal RNA". It matches the Rfam family "Bacterial small subunit ribosomal RNA", at positions 524 to 776 of the family's 1533-position model. The record is from RNAcentral.